Non-coding RNA from Paramuricea clavata, 348 nucleotides. The record is from the annotation of a GenBank genome assembly. Lineage: Eukaryota; Metazoa; Cnidaria; Anthozoa; Malacalcyonacea; Plexauridae.
CCCCCCCCCCCCCCCCGUUGCUACGGCCCUGCGUUUUCAUUCAUGCUUUCACACAAAAACGGAUAAAAACAAGGUCAAGGAAAUGUUUUCCUAUGGACUGGUGAACAGAGCAUCAAACGAAUUUCUAGUUGCUUCUGUGUUAAAGAUGACGAGAUAGUUCAUAGAUUCUAGACCUUUCUACCAUUCGCCUUUCUUUUCUUUUUUUUUCUGACGGUGGCCCCGCAAUUGGGCUCACCGCCAGAGUUGCUAGGGUAGAUGUAUCCCUGUAGGCAGGUGUUGAUUGGAGUGGCAUUACUUCAUAUGUUUCAAGUUCAUCAGUAUCAGUAGUCACAGACACAGAUAAACGAG